CCUACGGGUGGCAGCAGUGGGGAAUAUUGGGCAAUGGACGCAACUCUGACCCAGCAACGCCGCGUGAAUGAUGAAGGUCUUCGGAUUGUAAAGUUCUGUUAUUGGGGAUGAACACAAUGGCGGUACCCCAAUAGCAAGCCACCGCUAACUAAGUACAAGCCGCCGCGGUACUACGUAGGUGGCACUCGUUAUCCGGAUUGGCUGGGCGUAAGGGGUGCGUAGGUGGUUUAGUAAGUUGGCGGUGUAAUUCCGGGGCUCAACCUCGGCGCUACCGCGAAACCUAGUAGACUCGAGUGCAGGAGAGGUAAGUGGAAUUCCUGGUGUAGCGGUGAAAUGCGUAGAGAUUAGGAGGAACAUCAGGGGCGAAGGCGACUUACUGGACUGUAACUGACGCUGAGGCACGAAAGCGUGGGGAUCAAACAGGAUUAGAUACCCCGGUAGUC
Molecule: ribosomal RNA, 443 nt
Filed under: uncultured bacterium
Lineage: Bacteria
Description: partial 16S ribosomal RNA
Rfam family: Bacterial small subunit ribosomal RNA
Source: RNAcentral